GGAUGAACUGAGGGUAGCGGAGAAAUUCCAAUCGAACCUGGAGAUAGCUGGUUCUCUCCGAAAUAGCUUUAGGGCUAGCCUCAAGUGAUGAUUAUUGGAGGUAGAGCACUGUUUGGACGAGGGGCCCCUCUCGGGUUACCGAAUUCAGACAAACUCCGAAUGCCAAUUAAUUUAACUUGGGAGUCAGAACAUGGGUGAUAAGGUCCGUGUUCGAAAGGGAAACAGCCCAGACCACCAGCUAAGGUCCCAAAAUAUAUGUUAAGUGGAAAAGGAUGUGGCGUUGCCCAGACAACUAGGAUGUUGGCUUAGAAGCAGCCAUCAUUUAAAGAGUGCGUAAUAGCUCACUAGUCGAGUGACACUGCGCCGA
Molecule: ribosomal RNA, 367 nt
Filed under: Staphylococcus aureus
Lineage: Bacteria; Bacillati; Bacillota; Bacilli; Caryophanales; Staphylococcaceae
Description: partial 23S ribosomal RNA
Rfam family: Bacterial large subunit ribosomal RNA
Source: RNAcentral